Molecule: long non-coding RNA, 5868 nt
Organism: Cornus florida
Lineage: Eukaryota; Viridiplantae; Streptophyta; Magnoliopsida; Cornales; Cornaceae
Exons: 2
Source: RefSeq, a predicted model, not a curated record
UGAUAACUAAAGUUUACUGUUGCUUAUACCAUAUGUUAUAUGACACAUUGGAUUUCUAAAGUUUGUCAUAGAUAUGAUAUGAAUUGAGGUCAUUGUAUCUCAUUACCGAAUUUAUUUAUUUAUUAAUUUUCUAUCUAUAAGAGUUCCUUCUGAUGGUUGUUCUUUUUGUUGGUUUCUUUUGCAGUAAUGGUCAAUAGUAGUAGAGUUUAAUAUCUAGUUUUGUGUCAUUACAGUCGGCAUGUAAUUUUAUUUCUUUGUGUAUUUGGGUAUGAACUUGGAAUGAAGCAUGUUUUGUUCUUCCAUGGAAACAUGAAUUAUGAACCGACCACAUGGCCAAUUUAGAAUACCGAAUGGGUGUCAGGCUGUCUGCCACUGAUGCUUCAGUGUGGGGAAAACAUAUCACUGCUCUAUUUUUAUUUUUGUUUGUAUUUUAUUAAGAAAACAAAUGAAAUCAUCAUUUUUCCUAGUUGGUACUCACACACCCCUAUUGAUUCAAUGUUUUGAAACAUUGUUCAAUUUUAUGUCAGUGGAUUUAUUUUGUUUCUUUAGAGAGAAAUAGUUGAACCAUAUGGAUAGAUACUAUCAGGAGAGUUUAGUCUUUAUCAUGGAUUGUUCAUUUAAGCUAAUCAUUUCUAUCUAUUAAUUCGCUGUAAACAAAAACGUGGAAUUGAGUCCACAUCGCAAAAGAUGUCAUAAUAGUAGGUAAUCAUUCGAAACUUAUUAAUUUGCAGUAAACAAAAACGUGGAAUUUGAAAGUCAUAAAACCACAACUUGCUUUCAUUUUCUAGGUUUUCUUUUAUUAAUUUAUCCUUGAAUGCAUGAUCAUUUUUGGCUCUGGCCCAUGUAUGGAAUAGGACGACUUAUUUUUGGCUCUCGCCCAAUCCAAGUUAAACAAUGAAGUACUAGAAAUAACUUUUAUGGAAUAGGAUUUGACUUCCAAAGAACAGAAUUGCUGUUAAGAUAGAUACGCGUAGGAUACAUUUAUAUAUGUAAUUUAUGCCACGAUCACGUUGACACCACUGGUCCGUUAAUCUGAAUGAUAUAACCUUUAUUCACUAAAUGGUGGGAGGUUGAGGGCUCUAUGUUUUUUUAUUUACCUUUCAAGGGAAAUAGAAAAUAGGUGACAACUUUGGGUUAGAUUAAAGUUUGAUUCCUCGGCACAAUUGAAAUUUGUUUGUGUUUUAGUUGAUUUUCAAUCCAACUUUCUAAAUGUGAAAAAUAUCUUACAUUCGGUUUCAUUUUGUGAACCAUCCAAAUAGCAACACCACUUCAAAUGUUGUACGUCAUCUUCUUUUUCUUUUUUCCCAUUCUAUUUGCAAUGGCAUCAGAGUCUUCUAACUUCUGUUUAUAAAACUUUACUAAUGGAAUGACAAUAGAUAGUAACUAAUUGAGUGGAGUAGGGCCUAAACCAUUUAGAACAUUUAUGCGAAUUUCAAUCCAUUAACAUAAAUAACAUAGGGGAAGUACAAAAAACUCCACUAUGGUUCACAUUUAUUGCAUCUAAACCCUUAUGGUUUCUAUUGUUAAUUUAAAUCUAUAUUGUAUUUAAAAAUGUUGCCAACAAGGGCUUGCCGUCCGUGUGCCGUUAGGAGACGUGAUCGAAAAUGCCCUUUCUCUCUUCCAAUAAUAUUCUUAACGAUAUUCUCUCACUCUCUCUAUUGUUUCUCUCUACUCCCACAUCACUCUCUUGCGUCGUUAUUCACCAAAACACAGAAAAUUAGCGUAAAUUGGGUUCCAAGAUUAACAUAAAAUUAGAUGAAAAAACUUUAAUUCACAACUAGUGUGUAGAAAAUUCAUGGCCAAUUUUCCAGUAACUAUUUUGAUCCCUUUUCUUUAUUUAUUUUAUUAUUUAUUUUAGUUUUUCUUUUCUUUUCUUUUUCGAUUCUGGGAGUCAUAGACUUAUAGUAACUUUAAUUCACAAAGGGAAUCUCAACCAACACACAGAACCAUCUCAUAUGGCUUCUGCAACUAACCACUGUGAGAUAUAAAUUUGUAAUUGGCAUAUUUUGUUGUCAAAAUGAGUCCGAUUGAGUAAUAAAUUUUCAGUUUGAUUUGUCAAGAAUCAAGAUCGAAAGCGGAAUUGAAGAAGUAAUUGUGUUCAUGCUUCGAUACACUCUGGGAUGAUGGGAACAAUACUUUAGAGAGGUAAGAGAGUGUGAGUACACUUGGGAGGUUGAAACUUAAGGUUUUAAACAGAAUUUACAUUCUGCCCAACUUGAAUUGGUUCAAGAAUCUUGGAACAAGUUCAACAUUUGAGGCUUUUUGGUAUUUUUCAAGACAUGCCAUCUUAAACCGAUUCAAGAAUCAAAAGAAUUCUUCGAAUUUUACACUGGCCAUCUUGAACCGGGUUCCACUUUCCUGAACCGGUUCAAGGCCUUCAGAUUUGUUUUGGUAUGGUCUGUUUUGAUUCCUUUCGUGGGUAGACUUCUUUCCAAAAACCUAUGCACGAAAUUGACUUGGUUUCCAAGUAUAUUUAGGCCUUCCAAAUUUUUAUAUAAUCUCUCUUUGAUUCAACAUUGAGGUAUGGCUUUGAGGAACAAAAAUUCAUUAUUUUGAGAAAGCCUUUUGAGAGAUAUUUUUCAGAAAAUCAAAUCUGAUUUUAGUUUUGAGAGCACACACAUAAACACAAGAGUGAUUUAGUAGUGUUGUUCUCUAUCUCAUCGGAAUUGGAGCAUAAUUGAAGAUUUAGAAAUUCCGAAAAACAGAUCUAUUCUACAACAAAUUCAAAUUUGAAAAAGAAAGGUGUUUUGAAAGGGUCAAGGUGCUUUGCGAAGUGUUGGACGGGGAGUAAAUAUGAUUUUUCUGAUUUUAUUUUGCAAGGUUCAAGGAGUAAGUUUGAAGUCGAGAGCUGUUGGACGAGGGAGUCGCAAAGCCAGGAGUGUUCAGCGAGUUGGGUCUUGGUAGAGUGAAGGGGUGUGAGUCUAAGUCAAAGAUCAGUGUACUUUGUUUCAUACAUAGUGGAUCUUUUUAUGCUUGAGACAGCACACAAAACCUCAAGGUUUUCCAAUUGGCUUCCUCGCUAAAAUCUGGUGUCACUUUAACUUUACUUGCAUUUAUUUUUGCUUUGAUUAAUUUACUUUUAUUUCGAUAAAUUUAAUUUAAGCAAAAAUCGGAUAAAAGAACAAGUUGAACCUAUUCACCCCUUUUAGGUUUUUUUAAUAUAAACUUCCGCAUCUUAUUCCGCUGCCACAACUCACAACCACCACAACAUGAACAACGUCUGUCAGUUUCAUCCAAUCUGGCACUUCCAAUCUCUCCUCUCUCCUUGCCCCCCGAAACGGCACCAUCUCUGAUACCGACCUCCGUUCCACACUCGAAGGUUUGUGUCUCUCCUCAACAAAUUCUCUCUACCCAACUCUUUGUUGUUUGAUUCCACCCAGAACUACUCGUUUUCUUCAAGACAGUCACCUUCUUCACUCAAGGGCAUGUUGUCGAAGUUUGUCUACAGUGAGGGUUUCGAGUAAUGAAUGCUUCUGGUUCAGUCAGUGUAGAGAGAGAAAAUGAAAGACGGGAUUUAGAGAGAGAAAUGGGUUGUCUGAAUUGGGUUUUGUGCAUGGGUGGGGGAUGAUUUAGGGGCAAGUGAAGACACAUGUCUAAUCUUGCCCAUUUUUGUCUUUUCACAUAAUGCUUAUGUUUUAUUCUUUUUUUAAUUCAGUGAGGGAGGGUAUUUUAUUCUUUUCAAGAUUCCAUCCAUGGUCGACUAAUGUCAGGCCCUCAUUUGCACCUAAAUUUUACGUGAGGGGUGUUUAGAAACAACAAGGGGUGUACCAUAUUCACUAUAAGGGUGUUUUUCGCACUUCAUCCAAUAGCAUAUUGAAGCUUCUAUCUACUGGUGGUGGCUGUGGUUUUUUGCUUCAAUGUGAUCACGAUUCACAAGUUGUUGGAGUGGUAGGUGUCCAGUUAUUUGUUAACGGUCUUAUUUUGCCCUUUGUUGGUGGGGCUUUGUUUGUGGAUGGUCAGUGAAACACGCCUACCAAUUGUAGAGCUACUUUCAAGUUUCCUGCUUUUCAUCAAACAUUGACUGCUCCUACCAAUUUAUAGAAGCCCCAAUGAAAAACCUCUGACCACCCGCUGGUCUUUUAAGGUAUAAUGCAAAAAAAAAAAAAAAAAACGAAGAAAAAAAAGAGGUUCUCCUUGAUGUUUGUGCUUGAAUAUAAGAAAAAGAAAAAGAAAACGUGAGAACAGAAUGAGCAAACUAAAAAAAAAGAAAAGAAAAAAGGACAGAACCCUAAUUUCGUCUCCUUCAACCUUUUUUAUUAUUAUUAUUAUUUUUUUUUUUGAUACAUAUAAUUCCCCUCAACCUUCUCUACACAUCCACCGAUUGAGAUUCCUGAUUUAGAGAGGUUUUGAGAAUUUGAGUGAAUCGGGUCUAGCAUUAGAGGUAGGGGUAUUCUAGCCCACAAUUUCUGAUUUGUUCCUUUUGUGCUCUUUGUGAAUAAGCAUGCUUAUUUCAACUCUUUUAAUAUUUGUAUAUGGGAACGACAUAAAUGGUAUUAAUCUACCAUAAUUCCUAUUUCAACUCUUUUAAAUCUAUAUAUGUGAAUGACAUAUAUGAUAUUAAUCUACCAUAAUAUAAACAUGCUUAUUCACAAAGAGGUUCUCCUCACAUCAAUUGUUCGAAAUUCUUAAUUUAGGGAAGUUUCGGGAAUCGAGUGCAUCGGGCCUAACAUUAGAGGUAGGGGUGUACUAAUUCCUUUAACCCGUUAAAGGAGUUAAUACAUCCCUACCUUUAAUGCUAGGGAAUGUGAGUAUCGUUCUUGGACUUUUAUUAGAAUACUCCUACCUUUAAAAGGAACAAAUGACAGAUAAUGGUUAAAAACAAUUAGAAUAUCCCUAUCUCUAAUGCAACGUGCUCCACACAUCAAUAGUUCGAUUUUGUAAUUUAGAGAAGUUUUGGGAAUUGAGUGAAUCGAACCUAGCACCAGAAUUUCAUCAACAGUUCGGAUUUCGUUCUUGGACUUUUGAAUGAUUUUGAACAUGUAGAAUUUGAAAACUUGAAAAAAACAGGUUCUCCUCGGUUUUUGUGCUUGCAUAUAAAAGUAAAAAUAAAAAUAAAAAUAAACAAAAUGUAAGAACAAUAGAAUGAGAAAAUAAAAGGAAAGAAAAAAGGCAGAACCCUAAUUUCUUCUCUCUCAUUUUCUUCUCCUUCAACCUUUUUUUUUCAAUAAUUCCCCACGAUGUGCGAUCCAGAUACUUGAUUUAGAGAAGUCAGGUCUAGCCUUAAUGGUAGGGAUAUUCUAACUCUUUUAACCCACGGUCUGUGAUUUGUUUCUUUUGUACUCUUUUUGAAUGAGCAUGCUUUUAAAAUCUACCAUAAUAAAAACAUGCUUAUUCACAAAGAGUUGCUCCACACACAUCAACCAUUCGAAAUUCCUAAUUUAGAGAAGUUUCGGGAAUUUAGUGAAUCGGACCUAGCAUUAGAAGUAGGGUGUAUUAACUACUAGGGAAUGUGAUUUUCAUUCUUGGACUUUUAUUAGAAUACUUCUACCUCUAAAAGGAACAAAUGACAAAUAAUGGUUAAAAACAAUUAGAAUAUCCCUACUCUAAUGCGACGUGCUCCACAUAUCAACCGUUCAGAAUUCAUAAUUUAGAGAAGUUUUGGGAAUUGAGUGAAUCGUACCACUAGAGAUAGGGGUAUUUUAAUUCUUUUAACAUAUCGUGGGUCAAAAGUGUUAGAAUAUCCCUAUCUGUAAUGUUAGGGAAUGUGAUCUUCGUUCUUGGACUUUUAUUAGAAUAUACCCUUUGCUCUAAUGCUAGAUCCGUUCUUGGACUUUUGAAUGAUCUUGAAAAUGUAGAAUUUGACAACUUGGUUCUCCUCGGUGUUUGUGCUUGAAUAUAAAAGUCAAAAUAAAAAUAAUAAAACUAAAA